Molecule: ribosomal RNA, 498 nt
Filed under: uncultured bacterium
Lineage: Bacteria
Description: partial 16S ribosomal RNA
Rfam family: Bacterial small subunit ribosomal RNA
Source: RNAcentral
GAUGAACGCUGGCGGCGUGCCUAAUACAUGCAAGUCGAGCGAACGGACGAGGAGCUUGCUCCUCUGAUGUUAGCGGCGGACGGGUGAGUAACACGUGGAUAACCUACCUAUAAGACUGGGAUAACUUCGGGAAACCGGAGCUAAUACCGGAUAAUAUUUUGAACCGCAUGGUUCAAAAGUGAAAGACGGUCUUGCUGUCACUUAUAGAUGGCUCCGCGCUGCAUUAGCUAGUUGGUAAGGUAACGGCUUACCAAGGCAACGAUGCAUAGCCGACCUGAGAGGGUGAUCGGCCACACUGGAACUGAGACACGGUCCAGACUCCUACGGGAGGCAGCAGUAGGGAAUCUUCCGCAAUGGGCGAAAGCCUGACCGAGCAACGCCGCGUGAGUGAUGAAGGUCUUCGGAUCGUAAAACUCUGUUAGUAGGGAAGAACAUAGGUGUAAGUAACUGUGCACAUCAUGACGGUAACUAAUCAAAAAACCACGGCUAACUACGGGC